AUUGAACGCUGGCGGCAUGCCUUACACAUGCAAGUCGAACGGCAGCGCGUCCUUCGGGAUGGCGGCGAGUGGCGAACGGGUGAGUAAUACAUCGGAACGUGCCCGAGAGUGGGGGAUAACGCAGCGAAAGCUGUGCUAAUACCGCAUACGAUCUCAGGAUGAAAGCAGGGGACCGCAAGGCCUUGCGCUCACGGAGCGGCCGAUGGCAGAUUAGGUAGUUGGUGGGAUAAAAGCUUACCAAGCCGACGAUCUGUAGCUGGUCUGAGAGGACGACCAGCCACACUGGGACUGAGACACGGCCCAGACUCCUACGGGAGGCAGCAGGUGGGGUAAUUUUGGACAAUGGGGGGAACCCUGAUCCAGCCAUGCCGCGUGCAGGAUGAAGGCCUUCGGGUUGUAAACUGCUUUUGUACGGAACGAAAAGGUCUUUUCUAAUAAAGAAGGCUGAUGACGGUACCGUAAGAAUAAGCACCGGCUAACUACGUG
Molecule: ribosomal RNA, 486 nt
Filed under: uncultured bacterium
Lineage: Bacteria
Description: bacterial SSU rRNA
Rfam family: Bacterial small subunit ribosomal RNA
Source: RNAcentral